This 464-nucleotide ribosomal RNA is filed under the name uncultured bacterium. RNAcentral describes it as "partial 16S ribosomal RNA". It matches the Rfam family "Bacterial small subunit ribosomal RNA", at positions 339 to 795 of the family's 1533-position model. The record is from RNAcentral.
CUACGGGGUGCUCCAGUGGGGAAUAUUGCACAAUGGGCGCAAGCCUGAUGCAGCCAUGCCGCGUGUAUGAAGAAGGCCUUCGGGUUGUAAAGUACUUUCAGCGGGGAGGAAGGGAGUAAAGUUAAUACCUUUGCUCAUUGACGUUACCCGCAGAAGAAGCACCGGCUAACUCCGUGCCAGCAGCCGCGGUAAUACGGAGGGUGCAAGCGUUAAUCGGAAUUACUGGGCGUAAAGCGCACGCAGGCGGUUUGUUAAGUCAGAUGUGAAAUCCCCGGGCUCAACCUGGGAACUGCAUCUGAUACUGGCAAGCGUGAGUCUCGUAGAGGGGGGUAGAAUUCCAGGUGUAGCGGUGAAAUGCGUAGAGAUCUGGAGGAAUACCGGUGGCGAAGGCGGCCCCCUGGACGAAGACUGACGCUCAGGUGCGAAAGCGUGGGGAGCAAACAGGAUUAGAUACCCUCGUAGUC